UACGUAGGGGGCAAGCGUUGUCCGGAUUUAUUGGGCGUAAAGAGCUCGUAGGUGGUUCGGUAAGUCGGAUGUGAAAUCUCCAGGCUCAACCUGGAGGGGUCAUUCGAUACUGCCGUGACUAGAGUUCGGUAGGGGAGUGUGGAAUUCCUGGUGGAGCGGUGAAAUGCGCAGAUAUCAGGAGGAACACCCGUAGCGAAGGCGGCACUCUGGGCCGAUACUGACACCGAGGAGCGAAAGCGUGGGGAGCGAACAGG
Molecule: ribosomal RNA, 254 nt
Filed under: uncultured bacterium
Lineage: Bacteria
Description: partial 16S ribosomal RNA
Rfam family: Bacterial small subunit ribosomal RNA
Source: RNAcentral